RNAcentral lists this ribosomal RNA (584 nucleotides) under uncultured bacterium. Its description in RNAcentral is "partial 16S ribosomal RNA". It matches the Rfam family "Bacterial small subunit ribosomal RNA", at positions 355 to 937 of the family's 1533-position model. The record is from RNAcentral.
UGGGGAAUUUUGGACAAUGGGCGAAAGCCUGAUCCAGCAAUGCCGCGUGUGUGAAGAAGGCCUUCGGGUUGUAAAGCACUUUUGUCCGGAAAGAAAUCCUUGGCUCUAAUACAGUCGGGGGAUGACGGUACCGGAAGAAUAAGCACCGGCUAACUACGUGCCAGCAGCCGCGGUAAUACGUAGGGUGCAAGCGUUAAUCGGAAUUACUGGGCGUAAAGCGUGCGCAGGCGGUUUGCUAAGACCGAUGUGAAAUCCCCGGGCUCAACCUGGGAACUGCAUUGGUGACUGGCAGGCUAGAGUAUGGCAGAGGGGGGUAGAAUUCCACGUGUAGCAGUGAAAUGCGUAGAGAUGUGGAGGAAUACCGAUGGCGAAGGCAGCCCCCUGGCCAAGUACUGACGCUCAUGCACGAAAGCGUGGGGAGCAAACAGGAUUAGAUACCCUGGUAGUCCACGCCCUAAACGAUGUCAACUAGUUGUUGGGGAUUCAUUUCCUUAGUAACGUAGCUAACGCGUGAAGUUGACCGCCUGGGGAGUACGGUCGCAAGAUUAAAACUCAAAGGAAUUGACGGGGUCAUAGCUGUUUCC